ACUAUUUUGGCAGACAAAUGUUGUAAAUUUAGGAUUUAUAUAUGUAAUUUAUAUUACAAAUAGUA
RNAcentral lists this transfer RNA (65 nucleotides) under Dicyphus sp. RNAcentral describes it as "tRNA-Leu". Lineage: Eukaryota; Metazoa; Arthropoda; Insecta; Hemiptera; Miridae. The record is from RNAcentral.